GUGCUCGCCUCCGCAGCACAUGUACUAAAACUGGAGCGAUACAGAGAAGAUUAGCAUGGCCCCUGAGUAAGGAUGACACGCAAAUUCCUGAAGCGUUCCAUAUUAAA
Molecule: small nuclear RNA, 107 nt
Organism: Eubalaena glacialis (North Atlantic right whale)
Lineage: Eukaryota; Metazoa; Chordata; Mammalia; Artiodactyla; Balaenidae
Source: RefSeq, a predicted model, not a curated record